Molecule: ribosomal RNA, 255 nt
Filed under: uncultured bacterium
Lineage: Bacteria
Description: partial 16S ribosomal RNA
Rfam family: Bacterial small subunit ribosomal RNA
Source: RNAcentral
GUCCACGCCGUAAACGAUGGAUACUAGCUGUUGGGAGCAAUCUCAGUGGCUAAGCGAAAGUGAUAAGUAUCCCACCUGGGGAGUACGAACGCAAGUUUGAAACUCAAAGGAAUUGACGGGGGCCCGCACAAGCGGUGGAGCAUGUUGUUUAAUUCGAUGAUACGCGAGGAACCUUACCAAGGCUUAAAUGUAGUUUGACCGUUUUGGAAACAGAACUUUCGCAAGACAAAUUACAAGGUGCUGCAUGGUUGUCGU